Molecule: transfer RNA, 71 nt
Filed under: Camelus bactrianus (Bactrian camel)
Lineage: Eukaryota; Metazoa; Chordata; Mammalia; Artiodactyla; Camelidae
Also listed under: 2 other names
Rfam family: tRNA
About the family: Transfer RNA (tRNA) molecules are approximately 80 nucleotides in length. Their secondary structure includes four short double-helical elements and three loops (D, anti-codon, and T loops).
Source: Rfam by way of RNAcentral
GAGGGUAUAGCUCAGUGGUAGGGCACAAGCUUAGCAUACGCAGGUCCUGGGUUCAAUCCUCAGUACCUCCA